AGCGCACGCAGGCGGUCUGUCAAGUCGGAUGUGAAAUCCCCGGGCUCAACCUGGGAACUGCAUUCGAAACUGGCAGGCUAGAGUCUUGUAGAGGGGGGUAGAAUUCCAGGUGUAGCGGUGAAAUGCGUAGAGAUCUGGAGGAAUACCGGUGGCGAAGGCGGCCCCCUGGACAAAGACUGACGCUCAGGUGCGAAAGCGUGGGGAGCAAACAGGAUUAGAUACCCUGGUAGUCCACGCCGUAAACGAUGUCGACUUGGAGGUUGUUCCCUUGAGGAGUGGCUUCCGGAGCUAACGCGUUAAGUCGACCGCCUGGGGAGUACGGCCGCAAGGUUAAAACUCAAAUGAAUUGACGGGGGCCCGCACAAGCGGUGGAGCAUGUGGUUUAAUUCGAUGCAACGCGAAGAACCUUACCUACUCUUGACAUCCAGAGAACUUUCCAGAGAUGGAUUGG
RNAcentral lists this ribosomal RNA (451 nucleotides) under Gammaproteobacteria bacterium. RNAcentral's name for it is "bacterial SSU rRNA". It matches the Rfam family "Bacterial small subunit ribosomal RNA", at positions 564 to 1014 of the family's 1533-position model. Lineage: Bacteria; Pseudomonadati; Pseudomonadota; Gammaproteobacteria. The record is from RNAcentral.